This 67-nucleotide transfer RNA is filed under the name unidentified. Its description in RNAcentral is "Adiscus speciosus tRNA-Tyr". The record is from RNAcentral.
GGUGAAAUGGCUGAGAUUUAUAGGCGUUAAAUUGUAAAUUUAAUUAGGAAUAUUAAUUCUUUCACUA